Long non-coding RNA from Tigriopus californicus, 1898 nucleotides. RefSeq lists it as uncharacterized. The transcript has 3 exons. The record is from RefSeq and is a predicted model, not a curated record. NCBI's taxonomy places the organism in Eukaryota, Metazoa, Arthropoda, Copepoda, Harpacticoida, Harpacticidae.
GGGGACUUAAGAGCUGUCUUGAUUUUUUCAAAAGCCAUAGAAUGCUCGGGCAACCACAGAAAUGCAUUCUUGAUCUUUAGAAGUCCUCUAAGGGGCUCGGCUGAAACAGCGAUCUGACUAGUGAAUUGGCCGAGCUGAUUGACUAACCCCAUGAAUGACCGGAGAUUGCGUCUAUCGUCUGGCAUUGGAAAGUGCCGGAUCGCAUUAAGCUUUUCCGGAUCAGCCUUAAUGGAGUUCCUGGAAAUUUGGUAGCCCACGAAGUCAAUACAUUUCGAGCCACCAAUUACACUCUUGCGCCCAUUAACGGUCAUUCCAUACCGGACACAACGUUCAAGAAUCUCACAGGUCAAUUGCACAAGAUCUUUAUAUUCGGGCUGGCCAGCGGCUAUUUCGUCAAUGACCUUCUGGAUGUCAAGACCCGACAUCGCCAUGUCACCUCUAUAAGAGAAAAAAUCCCUUGUUGAGAUGAAACCCAUCGGAGAACGCAAAAAUCGAAAUUUCCCAAAAGGAGUAAAAAAGGUCGUCAACUCUUGAGAUUUUUCCUCCAAUGGCAUAUGCCAAUACCCUCUUACCAAGCCCAAUUUGACAAAAUACUUAUCCGUCGGACGGAAUCCGAAUAUGGCCUCGGUAGGAGUUUUAUUGGAUGGAUUGAGCGCACAACUUGAGUAUUUAAACGGGUCAAAUCCACACAUAGCCUGAAUGAUCCAUCAGACUUGGGUACUACCACGAGAGGGUGGCACCACGUCGUUGUUAAAUCACCCACUGGCUCUGUGAUACUCUGAGCCAACAUAUCAUUCAGCAUUUUUCUUACUGGCUCCUGUUGAGGGACUGGGAUAUUACGAGCCGUAUUGAUGGUGAAAGGAGUAGCUCCCUCCUUUAAAGUUAUAACCAUGGGAUCUCCCACGAUCGGGCCACUCAUGGGCUUCAAGCAGGAUUCAUCAAACACCUCUCUGUAAAUAGAUCUGAGUUUACACUCCACGCUUUUGAAAACGUCAUCGCAAGGAUCUUGAGAAAUGAUGGGAUAUGAUGGAUUAGGGAAGUUGCGACCAACAAUUCCGAAUCCCUGACUGGCCUCCAAUCUCAGGUAUUACCUUUAUGGAGUGUGCUUUCACCUGAUUUUUGAAGCGGCAAACAGGUUGCCAAUGACCGGUUUUCCCGCAUCCAUGGCAAGUAGAUUUGAGUGCCGGACAUUCCUCACGAGUGUGUCUCUUGGAUGAUCCGCAAAAGAACACCUCUCGGAUGAUCCAGACUUCUCAAAUUUUCGACCUGACUUUCCACCGCUCCUUUUAUACGAAGACUUGGUGGCGGCGUUGACUCCCAAUUCUGCAGAAUUGAGCGAUUGGGGGGACGUGAAAGUACGGGUGCCGUCACGGAUGGUCUCACCCUCGAGAACGAAUUUCCGAGCCUCCUUAAAUGUGGACGGGUUGCGCUCCAUGAAUGUGUGCCAAUGAUCGAUCCCCUAACAUAUCGACUCCAUUGUCUCAUUGUGUUCUCCAUUGAGAACACUUGCUUCGUUUCAAGGAUAAAAGCGUUCCAUGUUUUUGGAAAAGAAAAUGGGGGAAGUUUUUGUUGCCAAGAAGUUUGUGUUUUAGGCUGAUCGAAGUAUACAUACGGUUCCUGCCCUCAUUACUUUGCACGGAAACUGAGAAACAAGCAAAGGAAGCUUGCCCUUCAGUUUGGCGAGUAGGUGCCCAAUUUGUUUGAAUCUUACGAGAUCCUUGAUUUUCAAUAUACACAGAUCUUUAAAAAUAUUGCUGGUGUGGGCUGAUCUUCGUGCAUUAGUUAUCCAUCUUACUGCCUUCUUUUGCAAAGGAACAAGUCUCUUGACAGCGCAACUUUGGCCAAAAAACUCCAGUCCGUAUUCCAAGCGGCUUUUAAUCAGGGAGUCAUAAAGUACU